CCUUCUCCUUCCUAGAAUAAUUCCUUGGGUAAGGAAGGGGUCUUUCAGAAAAUUCUUUCUUUUUUCUCUCAUCGUCCUCCUCUCUCUUUUUCUUAUCUUCCUUCUCUCUUUCCUUUUCUUUUCUCUUACUCUCUUGUUUUUCUUUCUCUUCUUCAUAUUUUUCUUUUUCACUCAACCUCUCUUUUUCUUUUCUCUCUAUUUUUCUCUCAUAUAACACUCUACCUCUUCUAGUGACAA
RNAcentral lists this long non-coding RNA (237 nucleotides) under Vigna radiata. RNAcentral describes it as "long non-coding RNA (VRAD_LNC016842)". Lineage: Eukaryota; Viridiplantae; Streptophyta; Magnoliopsida; Fabales; Fabaceae. The record is from RNAcentral.